This 1936-nucleotide long non-coding RNA is filed under the name Macaca fascicularis (crab-eating macaque). RNAcentral describes it as "lncRNA (ENSMFAG00000050940.1)". Lineage: Eukaryota; Metazoa; Chordata; Mammalia; Primates; Cercopithecidae. The record is from RNAcentral.
UUUUUUUUUUUUUUUUUUUGGUGCAGCUGUGUAAAAGGGGUUUUCUUGACUUGAUUCUCAGCUUGUUCACUGUUGGUGGAUAGCAGUGCUACUGAUUUGUUUGUACAUUAAUUUUGUACCCAGAAGCUUUACUGAACUCAUUUAUCAGUUCUAGGAACUUUUUGGGUGAGUCUUUAGGGUUUUCUAGCUAUGUGUUCUUAUCAUUGGCAAACAUCACAGUUUGACAUUCUGUUUACCUAUUUGGAUGUCCUUUACUUUUUUCUCUUGUAUGACUGCUCUGGCUUGGACUUCCAGUGCUAUUUUGAAUAGAAGUGGUAAAAGCAGGUAUUUUUGUCCUAUUUCAGUCCUCAUGGGGAAUGUUUUCAACUUUUCCCCAUUCAGUAUAAUGUUGACUGUGGGUUUGUCAUGGACAGCUUUUAUUACCUUAAGGUAUGUCCCUUCUAUGCUGAUUUUGUUGUUUUUUAAUCAUAAAGGAUAAUGGAUUAUGUCAAAUGCUUUUUCUGUGUCUAUUGAGAUAAUCAUGUGAUUUUUAAUUCUGUUCAUGUGUUAUAUCACAUUUAUUGACUUGCAUAUGUUAAACUGAGAGGUGACAACGUGCUGGCAGACCUCACUCGCUCUCAGUGCCAACUUGGCCUCGGCGUCUGCUCUGGCCAUGCUUGAGGAGCCCUUCAGACUGCUGCUGCACUGGGGGAGCCCCUCUCUGGGCUGGCCAAGGCUGGAGCUGGCUCCCUCUGCUUGCAGUUAGGUGUGGAGGGAGAGGCAUGGGCGAGAACUGGGGCUGCGUGUGGUGCUCAUGGGCCAGGAUGAGUUCCGGGUGGGCGUGGGCUUGGCUGGCCCUGCACUUGGAGCAGCUGGCCGGUGCAGCCAGCCCUGGGCAGUGAGGGGCUUAGCACCUGGGUCAGCAGCUGUGGAGGGUGUGCCGGGUCCCUCAGCACUGCCAGCUUGCCCAUGCCACGCUCAAAUUCUGGCUGGGCCUCAGCUGCCUCCCUGCAGGGCAGGGCCCAGGACCUUCAGGCUGCCAUGCUCAAGCCACCCACUGUCCGUGGUCUCCCAUGCGGCCUGAGCCUCCCCAAAUGGGUGCCACCCCCUGCUCCUUGGUGCCCGGUCCCAUCAACCACCCAAGGGCUGAGGAGUGUGGGUGCAUGGCAUGGGACUGAUGGGAAGCUCCGCCCAUGGCCUGGGCAUGGCAUCCACUAGGCAAAGCCAGCUGGGCUCCUGAGUUGGGUGGGGACUUGGAGAACUUUUAUGUCUAGCUGGAGGAUUGUAUAUGCACCAGUCAGCACUCUGUGUCUAGCUCAGGGUUUGUGGAUGCACCAGUCCGCACUCUGUAUCUAGCUAAUCUGGUAGGGACUUGGAGAACUUUUAUGUAUAGUUAGAGGAUUGUAAAUGCACCAAUCAGCACUCUGUGUCUAGCUCAGGGAUUGUAAACGUACCAAUCAGCACUCUGUCAAAACGGACCAAUCACCUCUCUGUAAAAUGGACCAAUCAGCAGGAUGUGGGUGGGGUCUAUAAGGGAAUAAAAGCAGGCUGCCUGAGCCAGCAGUGGCAAGUUGCUGGAGACCCCUUUCACACUGUGGAAGCCUUGUUCUUUUGCUGUUUAUAAUAAAUCUUGCUGCUGCUCACUCUUUGGGUUCACACUGCUUUUAUGAGCUGUAACACUCACUGGGAAGGUCUGCAGCUUCACUCCUGAAGCCAGCGAGACCACGAACCCACCGGGAAGAACGAACAACUCCAGACGUGCUGCCUUUAAGAGUUAUAACACUCACUGUGAAGGUCUGCAGCUUCACUCCUGUCAGUGAGACCACGGACUCAUCAGAAGGAAGAAGCUCCAGACAUAUCUGAACAUCUGAAGGAACAAACUCCAGACACAACAUCUUUAAGAACUGUAACACUCACUGCAAGGGUCCGCGGCUUCAUUCUUGCAGUCAGUGAGACC